This 478-nucleotide ribosomal RNA is filed under the name uncultured bacterium. RNAcentral's name for it is "partial 16S ribosomal RNA". It matches the Rfam family "Bacterial small subunit ribosomal RNA", at positions 28 to 507 of the family's 1533-position model. The record is from RNAcentral.
GAUGAACGCUGGCGGCGUGCCUAACACAUGCAAGUCAAACGGAGUCCAGCCUUUAAGACCUUCGGGUCAAAGAGGGGAAGACUGAGUGGCGGACGGGUGAGUAACACGUGGGCAACCUGGCUCAUAGAGGGGGAUAACAGAGAGAAAUUUCUGCUAAUACCGCAUAAGCACACACUGCCGCAUGGCAGAGGGUGAAAAGAGAAUCGCUAUGAGAUGGACCCGCGUCUGAUUAGCCAGUUGGCAGGGUAAGAGCCUACCAAAGCGACGAUCAGUAGCCGAUCUGAGAGGAUGAACGGCCACAUUGGGACUGAGACACGGCCCAAACUCCUACGGGAGGCAGCAGUGGGGGAUAUUGCACAAUGGGGGGAACCCUGAUGCAGCGACGCCGCGUGAGUGAAGAAGUAUUUCGGUAUGUAAAGCUCUAUCAGCAGGGAAGAUAAUGACAGUACCUGAAUAAGAAGCCCCGGCUAACUACGUG